GGGUGGGUCAUCUUGAAGCUUCUCUGAGGAACCCAAAGUAAGUGUUCUUUUGUAUCUUGGAGACUGAGUGAAAGAGUGAGACAAUUGAUUGAGUGAAAGAGUGAGACAAUCUAUUAUCUUUGAAGAGAUUUAUCCUAAAGAUUAGCUUGGAGUCCUAUGGAUGUUAGAUAUAACAUAUAAAGAAAAAAAAUGCUUAAAACCCAUGAAAAGUUAAUAAUUUUUCUUUAUAAACUGAGAAUAAUUUCUUAUUUCAAUUUGGUUGGAUAAAAGUUAUAUCGGGGUCAUUUGGCACGGCGGACUGUCAUAGACUGGACUAAAUCCUGGGACUGUCUCGGAUUAGCUCGGAUUGGCCUAAGCUAGAUUAAGUACUGACCUACUUUUGGUGUUGGGUCGGACUAAGAAGCUGGAUUGUAAAAAUAGUAAAAACCUAUGUUUGGAGUUGUGUCGGACUAAAAAUAAUUAUUUUAAUAUUUAAUUUUAAUUAAUAAAAUUCUAAUAUUUAAUUUUAAUUAAGGCUUUUUUUACCUAAAAAUAAAUAAAAAGAAAACAAACAAGUGAGUAUGUGGUGGUUUAUUAUCUUAUCUUUGGGCAAACAAACAAUUGAACCACGCAGUUCAAACUAGGGAUGGCAAAAAUCCCCGCGGGGGCGGGUCCCCGUCGGGUCCCAGACCCUAAUGGGGAGAGAUUUCGGGGCCAAAUGGUUAUCGGGUAUGGGGAUUCCCAAACUUAAAAAAUCCCCAACGGGUAUGGGGAGGGGAUGGUAUUGGCCUCCCCAUCCCCGAAUCCGACCCGAAAAUAUAUAUGUUUAUAUUUAAAUAAAUAAAUAAAUAAUUAUAAUAUUUAUGUUUAACCCUAAGUUAACCUCUCUCUCCUAAUUCUUCCUAAUCUUUUCUAGAAUUUCAUAUUGAUGUGAUUUUGAAUAGUUGAGUUGAACUUUAUAGUUAAUUUGGAUGUGUUGAAUGAUAAUUUAAUAUGAAACUUAAUGUUAAAAUAUAUGAUAAAUAUUUUUUGUGCAAAAAAAAUCGGGGAUUCGGGGCGGGUAUGGGGGAUAGUCCCCCGACGGGAACGGGGACGGGAUUCCCCGAAACCUAUUAAACGGGGAUUGGUUCGGGGAUGGGGGCGGGGAUGGAGAGCGGGGACGGGGAUGGUAUUGUCAUACCCGGCCCCUACCCGGCCCGUUGCCAUCCCUAGUUCAAACUAUAUUUUCUUUUUUUUUCUUUUUUUUUUCUUCUUUUCUUUCUUCCUCUUAUCCCAUUGACUUUUCUUCUUCUUCCUUAUCUCUGGCCGGUUUCUUUCUUCCUCCUUUCUUAUUCCUUCCAACCAAAGCCUUUUUUUUUUUUUUUUCCUUUCUUCCUUUCCAGGCCGUUCCUUUUAUUUCUUUUUUUUUUUCUUCCUAUUCUUUCCUCUCUUUUCUUCUUUUUUCAUUCCUUUUCACUCUCUCUUCAUUCUGCACCUCAACUUUUAAGAGAGCCAGAUCCACUUCUGGAUAUGUAGUGGCUGCAAACACCCUCCCCUCUCUCUUUCUGGUUCCACUAAAUAAUGGUUGUGGUGGUUUCAUUAGGUGAUGAUGGUUGUUGAACUGAGUAUGUGGUGGCUGUUUAUGGGUGGUGAUGAUGCUUUAUUUGACUGAUUGGGUGGUGAUGAUGGUUCGAUUGGGUCUCUGGAGGCUGGUUAUGGGUUUGAUGGUCGUGGUAUGACAGAGAUGGCGAAGAGAGAUGGUUCUGGGUUUUGCGGGUGGCUGUGGUGGCGAAGAGAGAUGGGUCUGUGUGUGGCUUGCAGGUGGUGGUCAUGAGGGAAAUUUGGGGGAGAAGAGGGAGAGCUGGGCAUUGCCAGAGUUUGUCGAUUGGGUUGUGGUGGUGGUGUUUUGAUUCAAAGCGUAAGGAAAUCCAGCCGGACUCAUGUGUUCAAAAUAGCGAUGGUGCUAUUUUGCGAACUGCAUUUGGAGCUCACUGAAUUAGACAUGCGAGUCCGGUUAUUUUUUCACUGUUUGACUGUGCAGUCUCAUUUAAGUUAAUCCCCUUCCUUACCAAACAUGGGUUUUAAGUGUUAUUUAACACAAUCCAGUCCAGUGAGGCAUAGUGAGGCCUACCAAACAUGCCUUUAGGGUCAAAAAACCCAAAAUAUGAUAUAAUAGUAGAAGAUGUACUUGACCCAAAAAAAAAAAAAA
RNAcentral lists this long non-coding RNA (2167 nucleotides) under Prunus dulcis (almond). Its description in RNAcentral is "sRNA ncRNA". The record is from RNAcentral. Lineage: Eukaryota; Viridiplantae; Streptophyta; Magnoliopsida; Rosales; Rosaceae.